This 405-nucleotide ribosomal RNA is filed under the name uncultured bacterium. Its description in RNAcentral is "partial 16S ribosomal RNA". It matches the Rfam family "Bacterial small subunit ribosomal RNA", at positions 28 to 526 of the family's 1533-position model. The record is from RNAcentral.
GAUGAACGCUGGCGGCGUGCCUAAUACAUGCAAGUCGAGCGAAGCGGGGACGGGUGAGUAACACGUGGAUAACAUCCUAUAAGACUGGGAUAACUUCGGGAAACCGGAGCUAAACCGGAUACUUAUCGAUGGAUCCGCUCUGCAUUAGCUAGUUGGUAAUGUAACGGCUUACCAAGGCAACGAUGCAUAGCCGACCUUCGAGGGUGAUCGGCCACACUGGAACUGAGACCCGGUCCAGACUCCUACGGUAUGCAUCGGUAGUGAAUCUUCCGAAAUGGGGGAAAGCCUGACGGAGAAACGCCGCGUGAGUGAUGAAGGUCUUCGGAUCGUAAAACUCUGUUAUUAGGGAAGCGGUACCUAAUCAGAAAGCCACGGCUAACUACGUGCCAGCAGCCGCGGUAAUAC